RNAcentral lists this ribosomal RNA (892 nucleotides) under uncultured Bacteroidota bacterium. RNAcentral's name for it is "bacterial SSU rRNA". It matches the Rfam family "Bacterial small subunit ribosomal RNA", at positions 25 to 909 of the family's 1533-position model. The record is from RNAcentral. Lineage: Bacteria; Pseudomonadati; Bacteroidota.
CAGGAUGAACGCUAGCUACAGGCUUAACACAUGCAAGUCGAGGGGCAGCGGGAUUGAAGCUUGCUUCAAUUGCCGGCGACCGGCGCACGGGUGAGUAACGCGUAUCCAACCUUCCGUACACUCAGGGAUAGCCUUUCGAAAGAAAGAUUAAUACCUGAUGGUAUGAUGAGAUUGCAUGAUAGCAUCAUUAAAGAUUUAUCGGUGUACGAUGGGGAUGCGUUCCAUUAGGUAGUAGGCGGGGUAACGGCCCACCUAGCCAACGAUGGAUAGGGGUUCUGAGAGGAAGGUCCCCCACAUUGGAACUGAGACACGGUCCAAACUCCUACGGGAGGCAGCAGUGAGGAAUAUUGGUCAAUGGACGAGAGUCUGAACCAGCCAAGUAGCGUGAAGGAUGAAGGUCCUACGGAUUGUAAACUUCUUUUAUAAGGGAAUAAACCCUCCCACGUGUGGGAGCUUGUAUGUACCUUAUGAAUAAGCAUCGGCUAACUCCGUGCCAGCAGCCGCGGUAAUACGGAGGAUGCGAGCGUUAUCCGGAUUUAUUGGGUUUAAAGGGAGCGCAGACGGGUCGUUAAGUCAGCUGUGAAAGUUUGGGGCUCAACCUUAAAAUUGCAGUUGAUACUGGCGUCCUUGAGUGCGGUUGAGGUGUGCGGAAUUCGUGGUGUAGCGGUGAAAUGCUUAGAUAUCACGAAGAACUCCGAUUGCGAAGGCAGCACACUAAUCCGUAACUGACGUUCAUGCUCGAAAGUGUGGGUAUCAAACAGGAUUAGAUACCCUGGUAGUCCACACGGUAAACGAUGGAUACUCGCUGUUGGCGAUAUACUGUCAGCGGCUUAGCGAAAGCGUUAAGUAUCCCACCUGGGGAGUACGCAGGCAACGGUGCAACUCAAAGGAA